Molecule: RNA transcript, 3429 nt
Organism: Quercus robur (English oak)
Lineage: Eukaryota; Viridiplantae; Streptophyta; Magnoliopsida; Fagales; Fagaceae
Exons: 19
Source: RefSeq, a predicted model, not a curated record
CCUUCUCAGAAACAAAUUUCUCUCUGCGCUUCUCCCUCUCAGAAACAAAUUUCUCUCUGUCACGCUUCGGACUCUAUCUCGCUUCCGAUUCGGUUUAUCUAAAGAACCCAGAAUUCGGCGUCUUCUUCUCUUACUAAUCAACCACAAGUGUGCGCUUCUCCUUCUCAUAAACAAAUUUCUCUCUGUCACGCCUCGGACUCUGUCACGCUUCGAACUCUAUCACGCUUCCGUUUCGGUUUAUGUAAAGAACCCAGAAUUCGGCUUCUUCUUCUCUUACUAAUCAACCACAAGAACCCAGGGCAACUAAACAAAACCCAAAGAAGAAACAGUAUCGGCCGGCGACGAUAUUUGAAAUAGUGAGUCUUGGAAUUUAGCACACGAGUCCAGAAGUUUCAUUGUACGAUGAAGUUAUUUAUGUAGUCACUGUUCUGGAAAUAAAUUGGCAUUGAAGGUGAAGUAAAAAGCAAAUAGAAUUGAUGAAAGCUAAAGGCAUCGUCACUAAGAUAAGCACAACUGUUAAGACGGAGAUUAGAGAAAAGUGGAUGAAUCUUGAUGAAGAUUCUAAAUUAGAGUACAAGAAGGAAGCACGUGAGAAUUCUGAAAAAUAUGCUAAUUUGUCACAUAAUAAUCCUCGCAAAUAACGUAAAGGUUCAUUAUAUACUCGGUGUGCCCCUAAUCGUGUUCAUUUGAUGGCUUUAAAUUUAAAUGAAAGACAAAGAUUUGUUAUUCGAGAAAUGGGAUUUGGUAGUAUGUUGGAUUUAAGGUCUAUACAAUUGGAUAGAGAUUUUUGCAAAUGGUUAGUUGAUCAUUUUGACCACAAUUCUUGUGCAUUGGAUAUUUGUGGAAGGAGGUUACCAAUAUCCACUGAAGAUAUAGAAUUUAUUCUAGGAAUAAAAUCAAGUGGGGUAGAUGUGUCUAUUGUUGCAAGUGCUGAAGAGAUAAAUCAUAUAUGCCAACAACAUGGAUUAAAUGUGGUAGGGGAUAUACCAAUUAACCUCUUAGAGGGUAAGCUGAAGGAGAUGAAAACAUCUGGAAAAGAAUUUGUUGGUUGUUUUUUGCUGUUUCUAUUGGGUACUUUAUUAUGUCCCACUCCAAAACCUUAUAUCAAACGGUCCUUUAUCUCAAUUCUCCUUAAUAUUGAUGAGUUCAAAAACUUGAAUUGGGCGAAGUUGGUGUUGGAUUUUCUUAUUCGAGGUGUGCGCAAAUAUAAAGAAAAGAAUAGUGUUGGCGUUAAUGGUUGCUUGCUAUUUUUAAUGUUGUUUUAUUUUGAGCAUGUCAAUGUUGAAACAAAUCUUGAACAUGUGUCCAAACGACUUCGACCACGUGUUUGUUAUUGGGGGAAAAAAGAAGUUAACCAAAGGAUGCUUCAAUUACAGUCAAUUGGAAGUUUUGACAGUCCUAAGUUGGUUGUAACACAAAUGGAUGGUGGACACGCGACAGAAAGUAUUCCACUAGAGAAACAAGAUAUUAAUGAAUCUCAUGCUAUGCCAUCUCAACAUGAAGACAAGCGAAAUAUGGAUUCUGUUGAAGCAAUUUGUAGAAUUGAGCAAUCAAUAACAAGUCUUAGAGAUGAAAUGCUAGUCAUGCAGAAAACCGUGACAAACAUUGCAAACAAUCUGGACACAUUUAAGAAUGACAUUCUUUUGGAGUUAAAGAAAACAGCAAGGGAACAUAGUGGACAUUCCAAUGACCUCAACUUAAAUGAUAUUGUAGAUGUUAAAAAAGAAAUGAAGUCUGCAUCUCCAAAUAUAAUCCAAGACACAAUGGAUCAAGAUGAUACAGUAUGUGCUAAAAACGAAUCUAAGAUAGAGUCUACAUCUCCAGUUCAAGACAAAAUGGAUCAAGAUGAUACAGGGCACAUUAAAAAAGUAUCUAAGAUGGUGUCAAUGGAGGAAGACUGCAAUGUUCCCAUUGCUGGGCUAACUCAAUCUAAUCAAAAACCUGGCAGUAAAACACCCUUAUCUCAUAAUGUGGAUGUGGAUAUGCUGCAGUUAACUUUCCCUCAUAAUGUUCAACUUAAAGCAUCACGUGUUACACCUUCUAGCAAGCCUAAAGUCACCAGAUCACAAAAACGUAGCCCAAUUGUCACAUCACAAGUUGAAGUUCCAAAAGUCGAAAAGAGGAAAGAAAUCAAAGAUUCAUUGCAGGAAUCUAGACUGGGUGAUGGCGAGGAUAUGAAUGAGUUCAAACCAUUUACUGAAAUGGAGAAGAUCAUAUGUAACUACAUUUUUAAUAAAAAUUUUGAAGAGAGUGAAGUUCUUGUUUCCAUGAAAUAUGAAUAUGGUGAUCGUGCAGCUUUCAAUACCUUGCUCCCUAAGCAAUGGAUAAGCAAUCAGAUUAUUAAUUUGUUCGUUUGCAAGAUGAGGAUGGAAGAGAACAGAUAUAGAGACAUGUUUGUGUGGUAUUUGCCAAUGCAUUUUGCUCAAAAAAUGCUCGAAGAAGAUGGCAAUCCCACACUAGAAUGGUUUAAAAAGACAUAUAGGGACGAUGACAAGUAUAUGUCAAAUUUGGUGAAGUGUGAACGGAUUUUUAUCCCUAUGAAUGACAAUAAUAGUCAUUGGUACUUAUGUGUCAUUGAUUUUGAAAAAAGAUUUAUAUAUAUACUGGACUCUUUGCAAAGCACAACUAGUGAAGUCAUUCGAACAAAAAAUGUUAAAACUGUGGUUACAGGCCUUGAUAAGUUGUUGAGUUUUUUGGAGAAAGACAAGUAUAUUGAUAGUAUUACCACAUUUAAAUUGAAAUCACCCGUCUCGAAUCCUCAACAAAAUAAUGGGUAUGAUUGCAGGAUGUAUGUUAUAAAACACAUGUUUACAAAUACUUCCAGCAGGCAUUUACCCCUUUUGGAGAGCUGGUCGGAACGUUUACGGUACAAGUUGGCAGCAAGUCUAGUGCUUUCAAAGAAUAAUGAUCAACGUUCAAGAAUUGUUGAAAUUGCUGGAAACAUUCCACUACAGGAAUAUUUUCGGUCACUCAAAGAUUAGUAUAACGGUCACUCAAAGAUUAGUAUAAAAGAAUGAAUAGGAUACUAUUUAUGAAUUAGUGUUUGGAUCUUGGUGGGAAAUCUGUUACCUGUUGGCUAUAUACAUUGCUAGCUAUGGUUGGAUAAGAAUUUGAUCAUGGAGAUGAAAUUUGUGGAGCAGUUGUCAAUGUCAGAGCUAGGCAGGAAAAAAUAUCUCUAUGGCUGAAGAAUGCUACAAAUAUAAAGCCUAGGCAACUAGCAUGUUUUGUUCACAUGUAAAUAUAAUAUUUCAACACUAGAGGAAUUACAUGUUUUUUUCACAUGUUUUGUAUAAUCACAUUAUUAAGUGAAUGUAAUCACAUUAUUAAAUUUAAUCCAUUUUGUAUAUAACACUAGAGGAAUUAUUAUACUUAAUAUUUAUACUGCAAUAUAAGCAUUAUAUAAAGCCUCAGUUGUAAAGCUUGAAUAUU